Molecule: ribosomal RNA, 471 nt
Filed under: uncultured bacterium
Lineage: Bacteria
Description: bacterial SSU rRNA
Rfam family: Bacterial small subunit ribosomal RNA
Source: RNAcentral
GGCGGCAUGCCUUACACAUGCAAGUCGAACGGCAGCGGACCUUCGGGUGCCGGCGAGUGGCGAACGGGUGAGUAAUAUAUCGGAACGUACCUUUCAGUGGGGAUAACGUAGCGAAAGUUACGCUAAUACCGCAUAUUCUGUGAGCAGGAAAGCAGGGGAUCGCAAGACCUUGCGCUGAUUGAGCGGCCGAUAUCAGAUUAGCUAGUUGGUGAGGUAAAGGCUCACCAAGGCGACGAUCUGUAGCGGGUCUGAGAGGAUGAUCCGCCACACUGGAACUGAGACACGGUCCAGACUCCUACGGGAGGCAGCAGUGGGGAAUUUUGGACAAUGGGCGCAAGCCUGAUCCAGCCAUGCCGCGUGAGUGAAGAAGGCCUUCGGGUUGUAAAGCUCUUUCGGCCGGGAAGAAAUCGCACAGGUUAAUACCCUGUGUGGAUGACGGUACCGGAAUAAGAAGCACCGGCUAACUACGUG